GGCCAGACUCCUACGGGAGGCAGCAGUGGGGGAUAUUGCACAAUGGGGGGAACCCUGAUGCAGCGACGCCGCGUGGGUGAAGGAGCGUUUCGGCGCGUAAAGCCCUAUCGGCAGGGAAGAAGGAGGACGGUACCUGACUAAGAAGCCCCGGCUAACUACGUGCCAGCAGCCGCGGUAAUACGUAGGGGGCAAGCGUUAUCCGGAUUCACUGGGUGUAAAGGGAGCGUAGACGGCGGCGCAAGUCUGGAGUGAAAGCCCGGGGCCCAACCCCGGGACUGCUCUGGAAACUGCGGCGCUGGAGUACGGGAGGGGCAGGCGGAAUUCCUGGUGUAGCGGUGAAAUGCGUAGAUAUUAGGAGGAACACCAGUGGCGAAGGCGGCCUACUGGACGGUGACUGACGCUGAGGCUCGAAAGCGUGGGGAGCAAGCAGGAUUAGAUACCCCAGUA
This 447-nucleotide ribosomal RNA is filed under the name uncultured bacterium. Its description in RNAcentral is "partial 16S ribosomal RNA". It matches the Rfam family "Bacterial small subunit ribosomal RNA", at positions 329 to 792 of the family's 1533-position model. The record is from RNAcentral.